This is a long non-coding RNA of Vidua macroura (Pin-tailed whydah), 974 nucleotides long. RefSeq lists it as uncharacterized. The transcript has 2 exons. Lineage: Eukaryota; Metazoa; Chordata; Aves; Passeriformes; Viduidae. The record is from RefSeq and is a predicted model, not a curated record.
CGCCAGCCCGGGCCCAGCCAGGAUCCGCCGGGCCCCAGGAGCAGCCCCGGGCCGGGCCGGCUCGGCCAAGCUUCUGCCGCCCUUGGGCUUGGCCCGCAACCAGCGGGCAGGGCCAGGAGAAGCCAUCGGCCCCGGCCGUGCUGCUGCUCUGCUCUGGCCUGGCUGCUGAGAUCCUGGCCCUGCCCCCAGCGCCGCCCAGCCUGACACAGCCCCAGCGCAGCCGCUGCACAAACCUCCAUGGGAAAACAGCUCCGGCCGCAAGGACCCAGCCCGGCCGGGCUCACGCAACCAUCUGCAGGCCCCACCUGAGAUAUUGACUCUUCCCGUGCUUCCAUCCUCCCUCCAGUGAGAGAAAAGGACAAAGUGCAGGCACACACAGGAGCAACGUGAAGACACCCAGAAGGGGGAGAUGACUUGCUCAGCAAAGGCCUCCCUGCUAAAGGAAGCAAAUGGUGAAGUAGCUGUGAUCCCAUGAGAAGUUUGAACAGACAAAGAGAGCAGAGUGAUGAGACCCUGUGCCCUCAGUGAGAGAAGAAGAAGAUCUCUGUUCCCGGAGAUGAAGAGGAUUUCAGAAAUAGAUGAAGAGAACCUUUGCUCUUAAACAGCUCAUCUUUAAACUAAUACCCCAUAAGUUGGCAUGGGCCAUAAACACAGCUGUGGGAAAAGCUGUAAAAAAUGGGAGGGACUUCACGAUUGCAGAUUAUUCCAGGCAGCUGCUAUUCGUGGAAAUGAAAAGCCAUGAGAUAACUGUUUUCUUGUGGAGAAGUCUCCAUAACAUGAACAAGAGGAACUUCUCUCCCUAAGUGGACUGAAGAAAGACUAUUCGAGAGGUGGAAAACUGACAGAAAAUUUUAGGUUUUAUGUCUUUACAUUGUCAGGUUGUAUGGAGAGGAAGUGUUCUUGAAGUUUUGUUCAGAUUCUUAUUACUCUUUCUUUUAGUUACUGUUAAUAAACUUUGAUUUACACCAUUUUAA